AACGAACGCUGGCGGCGCGUUUUAAGCAUGCAAGUCGAGCGGCAGGGGGGCCUCGGUCCCCCGAGAGCGGCGGACGGGUGAGUAACACGUGGACAACCUGCCCCCGGUUCGGGAUAGCCCAGGGAAACCUGGAUCAAUACCGGAUGCGAGGGCGGCCGCACAAGCGGCCGUCGGGAAAGGCGCUUCGGCGCCGCCGGGGGAUGGGUCCGCGUCCCAUUAGCUAGACGGUGGGGUAACGGCCCACCGUGGCGAUGAUGGGUAGCCGGCCUGAGAGGGUGGACGGCCACAUUGGAACUGAGACACGGUCCAGACUCCUACGGGAGGCAGCAGCUAAGAAUCUUCCGCAAUGGGCGAAAGCCUGACGGAGCGACGCCGCGUGAACGAAGAAGGCCGUGAGGUUGUAAAGUUCUUUUCGGGAGGGGGAACGAGGCUGCCAGGCAAUGGGCGGCCGAUGACGUGAAUCCCGGAAUAAGCCCCGGCUAACUACGUG
RNAcentral lists this ribosomal RNA (490 nucleotides) under uncultured bacterium. RNAcentral describes it as "bacterial SSU rRNA". It matches the Rfam family "Bacterial small subunit ribosomal RNA", at positions 28 to 507 of the family's 1533-position model. The record is from RNAcentral.